This 73-nucleotide transfer RNA is filed under the name Canis lupus familiaris (dog). It matches the Rfam family "tRNA". From Rfam's summary of the family: Transfer RNA (tRNA) molecules are approximately 80 nucleotides in length. Their secondary structure includes four short double-helical elements and three loops (D, anti-codon, and T loops). The record is from Rfam by way of RNAcentral. RNAcentral also lists the same sequence under 1 other name. Lineage: Eukaryota; Metazoa; Chordata; Mammalia; Carnivora; Canidae.
GCCUGGCUAGCUCAGUCAGAAGUGCAUAUGACUCUUGAUCUUGAGGUCAUGGGUUUGAGCCUCAUGUUGGGUA